AGUGAACGCUGGCGGUAGGCCUAACACAUGCAAGUCGAACGGCAGCACAGUAAGAUCUUGCUCUUACUGGUGGCGAGUGGCGGACGGGUGAGGAAUACAUCGGAAUCUACUUUUUCGUGGGGGAUAACGUAGGGAAACUUACGCUAAUACCGCAUACUACCUACGGGUGAGAUCAGGGGAUCUUCGGACCUUGCGCGAUUGAAUUAGCCGAUGUCGGAUUAGCUAGUUGGCGGGGUAAAGGCUCACCAAGGCGACGAUCCGUAGCUGGUCUGAGAGGAUGAUCAGCCACACUGGAACUGAGACACGGUCCAGACUCCUACGGGAGGCAGCAGUGGGGAAUAUUGGACAAUGGGCGCAAGCCUGAUCCAGCAAUACCGCGUGGGUGAAGAAGGCCUUCGGGUUGUAAAGCCCUUUUGUUGGGAAAGAAAAGCAGCAGGUUAAUACCCCGCUGUUCUGACGGUACCCAAAGAAUAAGCACCGGCUAACUUCGUG
RNAcentral lists this ribosomal RNA (492 nucleotides) under uncultured bacterium. RNAcentral's name for it is "partial 16S ribosomal RNA". It matches the Rfam family "Bacterial small subunit ribosomal RNA", at positions 29 to 507 of the family's 1533-position model. The record is from RNAcentral.